This 427-nucleotide ribosomal RNA is filed under the name uncultured bacterium. RNAcentral's name for it is "partial 16S ribosomal RNA". It matches the Rfam family "Bacterial small subunit ribosomal RNA", at positions 354 to 796 of the family's 1533-position model. The record is from RNAcentral.
GUGAGGAAUAUUGCACAAUGGGCGAAAGCCUGAUGCAGCAACGCCGCGUGAGUGAUGAAGGCCUUUGGGUCGUAAAACUCUGUCCUUGGGGAAGAAAAAAAUGACGGUACCCUUGGAGGAAGCCCCGGCUAACUACGUGCCAGCAGCCGCGGUAAUACGUAGGGGGCAAGCGUUAUCCGGAAUUAUUGGGCGUAAAGAGUGCGUAGGUGGUUUUGUAAGCGUAGGGUGAAAGGAAGUAGCUCAAAUAUUGUUAGCCCUGCGAACGGUGAGACUUGAGUGCAGGAGAGGAAAGUGGAAUUCCUAGUGUAGCGGUGAAAUGCGUAGAUAUUAGGAGGAACACCAGUGGCGAAGGCGACUUUCUGGACUGUAACUGACACUGAGGCACGAAAGCGUGGGUAGCAAACAGGAUUAGAAACCCUUGUAGUCC